Molecule: small nuclear RNA, 107 nt
Organism: Artibeus jamaicensis (Jamaican fruit-eating bat)
Lineage: Eukaryota; Metazoa; Chordata; Mammalia; Chiroptera; Phyllostomidae
Source: RefSeq, a predicted model, not a curated record
GUGCUUGCUUCGACAGCACAUACACUAAAAUUGGAACUAUACAGAGAGUAUUUGCAUGGCCCCUGAACAAGAAUAACAUGCAAAUUCAUGGUGUUCUAUAGUUUAAA